RNAcentral lists this transfer RNA (77 nucleotides) under Bradyrhizobium sp. RNAcentral describes it as "tRNA-Arg". It matches the Rfam family "tRNA". Rfam says of the family: Transfer RNA (tRNA) molecules are approximately 80 nucleotides in length. Their secondary structure includes four short double-helical elements and three loops (D, anti-codon, and T loops). Lineage: Bacteria; Pseudomonadati; Pseudomonadota; Alphaproteobacteria; Hyphomicrobiales; Nitrobacteraceae. The record is from RNAcentral. RNAcentral also lists the same sequence under 36 other names.
GCGCCCGUAGCUCAGCUGGAUAGAGCACCAGACUACGAAUCUGGGGGUCGGGAGUUCGAAUCUCUCCGGGCGCGCCA